Molecule: ribosomal RNA, 283 nt
Filed under: uncultured prokaryote
Description: partial 16S ribosomal RNA
Rfam family: Bacterial small subunit ribosomal RNA
Source: RNAcentral
UACGUAGGGGCUAGCGUUAUCCGGAAUUACUGGGCGUAAAGGGUGCGUAGGUGGUUUCUUAAGUCAGAGGUGAAAGGCUACGGCUCAACCGUAGUAAGCCUUUGAAACUGGGAAACUUGAGUGCAGGAGAGGAGAGUGGAAUUCCUAGUGUAGCGGUGAAAUGCGUAGAUAUUAGGAGGAACACCAGUGGUGAAGGCGGCUUCCUGGUCUGUAACUGACACUGAGGCGCGAAAGCGUGGGGAGCAAAUAGGAUUAGAUACCCCGUAGUCCCUGAGCGGGCUGG